RNAcentral lists this ribosomal RNA (2082 nucleotides) under Heterothrips arisaemae. RNAcentral's name for it is "eukaryotic LSU rRNA". It matches the Rfam family "Eukaryotic large subunit ribosomal RNA", at positions 44 to 1840 of the family's 3401-position model. Lineage: Eukaryota; Metazoa; Arthropoda; Insecta; Thysanoptera; Heterothripidae. The record is from RNAcentral.
UAAUAAGGGGAGGAAAAGAAACUAACAAGGAUUCCCUUAGUAGCGGCGAGCGAACAGGGAAGAGCCCAGCGCUGAAUCCUCCGUGCCUUGUGUGCGGUUGGAAAUGUAGCGUUAAGGAAGGUCCGUUUGCCUGAGUUUUCUUGCUCACACAAGUGCAACUUGAAUGGGGCACCGGCGAGGGUGAAAGUCCCGUCGUGUGUUGAGAAGACUCGGGUGGACCUUCCUCAGAGUCGGUUUGCUUGAGAGUGCAGACCAAAGUGGGUGGUAAACUCCAUCUAAGGCUAAAUAUAACCACGAGACCGAUAGCACACAAGUACCGUGAGGGAAAGGUGAAAAGAACUUUGAAGAGAGAGUUCAAGAGUACGUGAAACUGCUCAGGUGAAAACGGUGGAGAACGGAAUGUCCGAAAGCUUGGGAUUCAGGUCUAUCUCGGCCGGACGGCGUUGCAGGAGAUGUUUGCAGGAGGCCUGGGAUACUGGGUCGGUCUGUAGCACUCCGUGUAGCGUUGACUCUCGGUCGGGUGGUCUGCAUUUCCCCGGGCUAGUAGGAGGUCGCGACCCGUUGGGGUUCGCCGGUAAUGGCUUGCGGUGGUAGACCGUGGCGGGUGUGGGCCCUCGUGCUCGCGCGUCGUCCACGGACACUGUGAUCGACCGUACCGGUACCCGACGGUCUCAAAGAUGGGUAAAGGACCGCGCUCUGCGUCGCGUGCUACACACUGUGUUUGCACAGGUCCUUGUCCCCUGUCUGCGGCUCUGUUGCUUCCGGCACCUCGACCGACCCGUCUUGAAACACGGACCAAGGAGUCUAACAUGUGCGCAAGUCAUUGGGUGUAAAAACCUAAAGGCGAAAUGAAAGUAAAGGGCAAGCACUUGUGCUAGACCUUUCGGGUGAUGGGUAGUCCUGCGUGGCUACCUCGCAACCCGGGGGCGUCCCGAUCUCUCCGAGAUAGGGCGCACCUUGAGCGUACAUGUUGGUACCCGAAAGAUGGUGAACUAUGCCUGGCCAGGACGAAGCCAGAGGAAACUCUGGUGGAGGUCCGUAACGCUUCUGACGUGCAAAUCGAUCGUUGGAGCUGGGUAUAGGGGCGAAAGACUAAUCGAACCAUCUAGUAGCUGGUUCCCUCCGAAGUUUCCCUCAGGAUAGCUGGCGCACGAGGGAGAUUUGGGUCAGAGUCCCAUCCGGUAAAGCGAAUGAUUAGAGGCCUUGGGGGCGAAACGCCCUCAACCUAUUCUCAAACUUUAAAUGGGUGCGAUCCCCGGCUUACUUAACUGAAGCCGGGGCCCAAGGAUCUAUGUGUGCCAAGUGGGCCAAUUUUGGUAAGCAGAACUGGCGCUGUGGGAUGAACCAAACGCGGUGUUAAGGCGCCUAAAAGAACGCUCAUGGGACACCAUGAAAGGUGUUGGUUUCUUAAGACAGCAGGACGGUGGCCAUGGAAGUCGGAAUCCGCUAAGAAGUGUGUAACAACUUACCUGCCGAAGAAACUAGCCCUGAAAAUGGAUGGCGCUGAAGCGUUCUGCCUAUACACCGCCGCCGGGGCAGAAGCGUCCGCGCCGCAAGGUGCGGGCAUGAAGCCCCGGUGAGUAGGAGGGUCGCUACGGUGAGCGCUGAAGCGAUGGACGUGGGUCCGCGUGGAGCCGCCGUAGGUGCAGAUCUUGGUGGUAGUAGCAAAUACUCGAUUGAGAACCUGGAGGACUGACGUGGAGAAGGGUUCCGUGUGAACAGCCGUUGCACACGGGUCAGUCGAUCCUAAGCCCUAGGGGAAACCCGACAAAAAUGUGCUGUGUCUUAUUCUCGCCUUCGAGUUGACCGCCAUUGGGCGAAAGGGAAUACGGUUCCUAUUCCGUAACCCAGAUCCGGAACCGUCUUCGGUCACUCGUUGAUCGUCAGGGUAACCUGUCUUGCCCCGGAGAAGCCUUUGGGAGCCGCCGGAAGAGUUAUCUUUUCUCUAUGAACGGACAAGUACCCUGGAAGCCCAUAGCGGGGAGAUAGGGUAUAGUCCGUGCAGAGCAUCGCACUUGCGGCGGUGUCGGCGGUGCCCCUUUGGACCUUGAAAAUCCGGGUGAGGGCCACGGGGACCUCCGG